Long non-coding RNA from Acanthopagrus latus (yellowfin seabream), 808 nucleotides. RefSeq lists it as uncharacterized. The transcript has 3 exons. Lineage: Eukaryota; Metazoa; Chordata; Actinopteri; Spariformes; Sparidae. The record is from RefSeq and is a predicted model, not a curated record.
CUUCAGUGUAACUCUUCAUUUUGUACCUCAUCGUGUGACAUUAACCUGCUGUAUAAACUCAGAUGCAUACGAGCCUGUAACAUUAUUAUCAGCACAAAUGAUUGCUGGGAGUAUCGUCAUGUUUAACUCUCCACUGAAGGGACAUGGGCAACAAAAGACUGGAAAAGCUGUGGAGUGCUGAGUUAUUAAUAUUCAGGAACAAACCACGACACGCCCCCUCACUGAUUCAGUCACCUGUACAGACCUGUGAGGUGUGUCUGAGCCCUUUUCUCUGCUGUUGCUGGGGGUUACACAUGAUGGAGGUGAACUAACAGAGAAGGUAACUGUAGGUAUCUCAGCUGACAAUGCAGUGUGUAAAGAUGUAAUUUAUUUACAAAUCUUUGAUCAAGGAUAGCGUACGUGAGGAUAAGUGUGUGGAUAAUCUACACACAGACUUUGCCACCAGGAGACACUCACAGAAGAGUUGAUCACCACAGAGUCAUCAGUGCCACCCUGUACAGCUGCAUCUCAAUACACCUGAACACAUUCAAGUUUCAUAUAUUUUAGCUUCAUUUCACAUAGUAGUCACAAGUGGCUGGUUUGCUGACCAUGGUAUCACUGUGCUUGACUGGCCAGCAAACUGGCCUGACCUGAACCUCACAGAGAAUCCAUUAAGUAUUGUCAAGAUGGAGAUGACAGACAUCAGACCCAACAAUACAGGUUAGCUGAAGGCAGCUAUCAAAUUAGCCUGGGUUUCCAUAACACCUCAUCAGUGUCACAGGCUGAUCGCCUCCAUGCCACGCCACCUCGAUGCAGUAAUUCAUGCAAA